Herpailurus yagouaroundi (jaguarundi) is the source of this 362-nucleotide long non-coding RNA. RefSeq lists it as uncharacterized. NCBI's taxonomy places the organism in Eukaryota, Metazoa, Chordata, Mammalia, Carnivora, Felidae. The record is from RefSeq and is a predicted model, not a curated record. The transcript has 2 exons.
CACUAAUAAUCUAUCUUUAAUUUGUCUUCUAUUGCCCUAUGAGACACCCAAGGAAAAUGUAUGCAUAGAUUUGGAGUCCUAGUUAAUAAACAUUAUCAGGCUGAGAUCAAAACACCUUUGGAAGACCUACAUGAGCUAUACAGGAUCAGAUGAAGGGCUCUAUGUCAUUGCUAAAGAAAAGACUUUGGAAAAUACUGCAGUAAUGGAAGAGACUAUAGACAUUUGCCAGGACAUUUCCCUAUUCUAGAGAAACAUAUAUUGUUUCUAAAGAUAUCCUGAAUCUUCUAAGGAUUAUGUACUUUCCCAAAUAUGUAUUUCAUGCUCAAUAAAUCUGGGCUGAAUAAAUAUUAUUUUCUCUGUGA